GACUGACCGAUAGUGAACCAGUACCGUGAGGGAAAGGCGAAAAGAACCCCGGCGAGGGGAGUGAAAAAGAACCUGAAACCGUGUACGUACAAGCAGUGGGAGCCCCACCACUAAGCCAGUGGUGAACUCCACAUACGCAUCCUUUGCUGAGGAUACGGUUAACGGAGCGAAAGCGACGUUCAACCUCAAAAGAAGCAGAGGGGGCUUAGUGGUGGGGUGACUGCGUACCUUUUGUAUAAUGGGUCAGCGACUUAUAUUCUGUAGCAAGGUUAACCGUAUAGGGGAGCCGGAGGGAAACCGAGUCUUAACCGGGCGUUAA
Molecule: ribosomal RNA, 319 nt
Filed under: Salmonella enterica
Lineage: Bacteria; Pseudomonadati; Pseudomonadota; Gammaproteobacteria; Enterobacterales; Enterobacteriaceae
Description: partial 23S ribosomal RNA
Rfam family: Bacterial large subunit ribosomal RNA
Source: RNAcentral